UGUAAAGCUUGUUGGAGUGGAAGAAGAGAUCAUGUGGGAGUGGAAGCAUGAUUUCCAUUCUGUGGUCAAACAAAUCUGAAGUCCUUGUUGUGAAAUGACAGUUUAAACUAAAAGUCUCAUCACAGUCGAUGUGUCCCACGUGCGAACAGUCCAUCAUAAAUAUCACCUAAUAAAGACAACUGCAACAUGGUCCAGUGCACAGAGUUACUGCCGGGAGAAGUACACUGACCUGGCAACAGUAGUAACUGAUGAUGAUUGGGUGGAUAUUGGUUAGAUACAAGUUGUGCUCAGCUGAGACCUUUCAUAUGCUACAAUGCUAAUUUCAGUGGUGCUUCCAGGUUCAUCGGCAUCUCUAGUCCUUAUUUGACCUGGACAGAUGCUCUGGCUUACUGUCGAACACAUCACACAGACUUGCCCAGCUCUCUUAACAGCUUACUAUUAAAGGUGAGGGACAUCCAGGGUGAUUCCUGGAUUGGACUCUACAGAGACACAUGGAAGUGGUCAGAUGGGACCAUUGCUUCAAACCUACUCUGGGCUUCCGGAGCACCCGAUAAUUCUGGAGGAGUUGAGAACUGUGCAGUGGUGUUCAAUGAUGUACCCUGCACCAACAUGUAUUAUUUCUUCUGUCACACCAUUCUACCAGUGAGGGAACAGCAGAUAGUGAGACUGCAGGUGAAGUCUGAUGGCAGUGUGUUAGAUCCUGCUGUACAGUCGUCUAUUUUAGAGCAGAUGAAGCAGAAACUGGAGGAAUAUGGCAUGUUGGAGAACACCACACUGACCUGGCAGGUGCAGCCAGAUGAAAACAUUUUCCAGAAGAACGAUGAUCUGUAAUGUAAAAAAGAUUGCAAACUGACAGAAAAGUUAACAUUUAAGCUUUAAAUCAGUAGGAGGAACAGCAAAUGUUAUUUUUAUGAUAGAUGUUUAACAUACAGCUUUUUCUGCAAAUGGCCACUCGACAUGGAUGAUGAUGGACGAGAACAUGUUAAAAUACUGGAUAACUGGGUUUAAUGUAUCAGUGUGUCAUAGCAGAAUAUGUUUUACAUAGAACGUAAUAGAACUUGUUAAUAAACACUGUGUGUGUGUGUGUGUGUGUGUGUUUGUGGUGGCUGGGGCUUAAAAAAUGUGGGGGUUGGGGGGAAACAAACUUAAAAUCAAUAGUAAUGCAGGACUGUUUUAUCAAUUGAUUAUGUAUAAUUACUGCUAAGAUAAAAUGUAGAAAAAGUCAACUUUUAAAGCAUGCAAUAAAUCUACUAUGAAUCAGUGAAUUUGAGUUCAGUGGGGGUUUAUUAUCAGUAAUGAGGUAAUGAAGGUAAUCAUUAAAACACACACACACACACACACACAGAAACACUGUAAAGUUGCCUAAUCACUUGACUGCUGCUGAAUUUGCAGAUUGGGUCAACCUGGUCCAAGCUCAUUGAUUCUUUUCUUCAUUAGAACUCCUUAUGAAACGGUAUUUUUAUAAAGAAAUAACUGAAUUUUCUUUCAUCUGGAGACAUUUCGCUUGCUACUAAUCUGCUGAGCGGUAAUGAGACUCGUUGAGAAUGGUUUUAUCAUUAGAGGUCAAAUAUAUAAAAACAAUAUUGAUUCACUAACAGCAAAAGUGGGCGGGUCCAGGGUGUAGCACUCUGCAAAACUGUUGUGACUGUCAGGAAAAUUUGACUAACAGUGUAAUAGUAUGACUAAAUAAUUUUAUUUCGUUAUUAAAAUAUUAAAUUAUUGUUAAUGUGUUAAAGUAGUAUUCUUCCCUGGCAAGCUUUAAGGGGGUGACACCACACCGCCCCCAUAUUGACCAGCCACUACUGCUACAGAGACACAUGGAGGUGGUCAGAUGGGACUAUCGCUUCCAACCUACCAGGGGCUUCGGGAGCACCCAAUAAUUAUGGCGGAGUUGAGGACUGUGCACUCAGUAUCACAACUUUCAAUGAUGUACUCUGCUACUACAUGUAUUAUUUCUUCUGUCGCACCAAUCUACCAGUGAGGGAACAGCAGGUAGUGAGACUGCAGGUGAAGUCUGAUGGCAGUGUGUUAGAUCCUGCUCAUCUAUUUUAGAGCAGGUGAAACAGAAACUGAAAGAUACACAAUGUCGUAGUAAAAGAUUCGACAGAGUCGAGUGCAAGCAGUGAAGAUUUUGAUCACAUCUACUGAAGAAACACCAGGCUUUAGAC
Molecule: long non-coding RNA, 2168 nt
Organism: Hemibagrus wyckioides
Lineage: Eukaryota; Metazoa; Chordata; Actinopteri; Siluriformes; Bagridae
Exons: 8
Source: RefSeq, a predicted model, not a curated record